AACGAACGCUGGCGGCAUGCCUAACACAUGCAAGUCGAACGAGACCUUCGGGUCUAUUGGCGCACGGGUGCGUAACGCGUGGGAACCUGCCCUUAGGUUCGGAAUAACUCCCCGAAAGGGGUGCUAAUACCGGAUAAUUUCUUCGGACCAAAGAUUUAUCGCCUUUGGAUGGGCCCGCGUUGGAUUAGCUAGUUGGUAGGGUAAAAGCCUACCAAGGCGACGAUCCAUAGCUGGUCUGAGAGGAUGAUCAGCCACACUGGGACUGAGACACGGCCCAGACUCCUACGGGAGGCAGCAGUGGGGAAUAUUGGACAAUGGGCGAAAGCCUGAUCCAGCAAUGCCGCGUGAGUGAUGAAGGCCUUAGGGUUGUAAAGCUCUUUUACCCGGGAUGAUAAUGACAGUACCGGGAGAAUAAGCUCCGGCUAACUCCGUG
This 433-nucleotide ribosomal RNA is filed under the name uncultured bacterium. Its description in RNAcentral is "partial 16S ribosomal RNA". It matches the Rfam family "Bacterial small subunit ribosomal RNA", at positions 29 to 507 of the family's 1533-position model. The record is from RNAcentral.